AAAUUGAAGAGUUUGAUCAUGGCUCAGAUUGAACGCUGGCGGCAGGCCUAACACAUGCAAGUCGAACGGUAGCACAGAGAGCUUGCUCUCGGGUGACGAGUGGCGGACGGGUGAGUAAUGUCUGGGAAACUGCCUGAUGGAGGGGGAUAACUACUGGAAACGGUGGCUAAUACCGCAUAACGUCGCAAGACCAAAGAGGGGGACCUUCGGGCCUCUUGCCAUCAGAUGUGCCCAGAUGGGAUUAGCUUGUUGGUGAGGUAACGGCUCACCAAGGCGACGAUCCCUAGCUGGUCUGAGAGGAUGACCAGCCACACUGGAACUGAGACACGGUCCAGACUCCUACGGGAGGCAGCAGUGGGGAAUAUUGCACAAUGGGCGCAAGCCUGAUGCAGCCAUGCCGCGUGUAUGAAGAAGGCCUUCGGGUUGUAAAAGUACUUUCAGCGGGGAGGAAGGUGUUGUGGUUAAUAACCGCAGCAAUUGACGUUACCCGCAGAAGAAGCACCGGCUAACUCCGUGCCAGCAGCCGCGGUAAUACGGAGGGUGCAAGCGUUAAUCGGAAUUACUGGGCGUAAAAGCGCACGCAGGCGGUCUGUCAAGUCGGAUGUGAAAUCCCCGGGCUCAACCUGGGAACUGCAUUCGAAACUGGCAGGCUUGAGUCUUGUAGAGGGGGGUAGAAUUCCAGGUGUAGCGGUGAAAUGCGUAGAGAUCUGGAGGAAUACCGGUGGCGAAGGCGGCCCCCUGGACAAAGACUGACGCUCAGGUGCGAAAGCGUGGGGAGCAAACAGGAUUAGAUACCCUGGUAGUCCACGCCGUAAACGAUGUCUACUUGGAGGUUGUGCCCUUGAGGCGUGGCUUCCGGAGCUAACGCGUUAAGUAGACCGCCUGGGGAGUACGGCCGCAAGGUUAAAACUCAAAUGAAUUGACGGGGGCCCGCACAAGCGGUGGAGCAUGUGGUUUAAUUCGAUGCAACGCGAAGAACCUUACCUGGUCUUGACAUCCACAGAAGAAUCCAGAGAUGGAUUUGUGCCUUCGGGAACUGUGAGACAGGUGCUGCAUGGCUGUCGUCAGCUCGUGUUGUGAAAUGUUGGGUUAAGUCCCGCAACGAGCGCAACCCUUAUCCUUUGUUGCCAGCGGUCCGGCCGGGAACUCAAAGGAGACUGCCAGUGAUAAACUGGAGGAAGGUGGGGAUGACGUCAAGUCAUCAUGGCCCUUACGACCAGGGCUACACACGUGCUACAAUGGCGCAUACAAAGAGAAGCGACCUCGCGAGAGCAAGCGGACCUCAUAAAGUGCGUCGUAGUCCGGAUUGGAGUCUGCAACUCGACUCCAUGAAGUCGGAAUCGCUAGUAAUCGUGGAUCAGAAUGCCACGGUGAAUACGUUCCCGGGCCUUGUACACACCGCCCGUCACACCAUGGGAGUGGGUUGCAAAAGAAGUAGGUAGCUUAACCUUCGGGAGGGCGCUUACCACUUUGUGAUUCAUGACUGGGGUGAAGUCGUAACAAGGUAACCGUAGGGGAACCUGCGGUUGGAUCACCUCCUUA
Molecule: ribosomal RNA, 1542 nt
Filed under: Salmonella enterica subsp. enterica serovar Infantis
Lineage: Bacteria; Pseudomonadati; Pseudomonadota; Gammaproteobacteria; Enterobacterales; Enterobacteriaceae
Description: bacterial SSU rRNA
Rfam family: Bacterial small subunit ribosomal RNA
Source: RNAcentral